ACUCCUGCGGGAGGCAGCAGUGGGGAAUAUUGCACAAUGGGCGCAAGCCUGAUGCAGCCAUGCCGCGUGUAUGAAGAAGGCCUUCGGGUUGUAAAGUACUUUCAGCGGGGAGGAAGGCAAUACGGUUAAUAACCGUGUUGAUUGACGUUACCCGCAGAAGAAGCACCGGCUAACUCCGUGCCAGCAGCCGCGGUAAUACGGAGGGUGCAAGCGUUAAUCGGAAUUACUGGGCGUAAAGCGCACGCAGGCGGUCUGUCAAGUCGGAUGUGAAAUCCCCGGGCUCAACCUGGGAACUGCAUUCGAAACUGGCAGGCUUGAGUCUUGUAGAGGGGGGUAGAAUUCCAGGUGUAGCGGUGAAAUGCGUAGAGAUCUGGAGGAAUACCGGUGGCGAAGGCGGCCCCCUGGACAAAGACUGACGCUCAGGUGCGAAAGCGUGGUGAGCAAACAGGAUUAGAUACCCCUGUAGUCCCAUGAU
RNAcentral lists this ribosomal RNA (475 nucleotides) under uncultured organism. RNAcentral describes it as "partial 16S ribosomal RNA". It matches the Rfam family "Bacterial small subunit ribosomal RNA", at positions 335 to 801 of the family's 1533-position model. The record is from RNAcentral.